RNAcentral lists this ribosomal RNA (371 nucleotides) under uncultured bacterium. RNAcentral's name for it is "bacterial SSU rRNA". It matches the Rfam family "Bacterial small subunit ribosomal RNA", at positions 527 to 896 of the family's 1533-position model. The record is from RNAcentral.
GGAGGGUGCGAGCGUUGUCCGGAAUCACUGGGCGUAAAGGGCGCGUAGGCGGCGCGGGUAGUCAUCGGUGAAAGUUCAGGGCUCAACUCUGAAUCGGCCGGUGAUACUCCCGUGCUCGAGCACUGUAGAGGCAGGUGGAAUUCCGGGUGUAGCGGUGGAAUGCGUAGAGAUCCGGAAGAACACCGGUGGCGAAGGCGGCCUGCUGGGCAGUAGCUGACGCUGAUGCGCGACAGCGUGGGGAGCAAACAGGAUUAGAUACCCUGGUAGUCCACGCCGUAAACGAUGGGCACUAGGUGUGGGGGGUGUCGACUCCCUCCGUGCCGAAGCUAACGCAUUAAGUGCCCCGCCUGGGGAGUACGGCCGCAAGGCUA